GAAAGUAAGAAAGGGCGCAGGGCGGAUGCCUUGGCUCACGGAGGCGAUGAAGGACGUGAUAAGCUGCGAUAAGCCGCGGUUAGGUGCAAAUAACCUUUGACCCGCGGAUUUCCGAAUGGGACAACCCGUCCGUUUGAACGACGGACAUCACAUUUAAAAUGUGAGGCGAACCCGGGGAACUGAAACAUCUUAGUACCCGGAGGAAGAGAAAAUAAACUAAUGAUUCCCCCAGUAGUGGCGAGCGACCGGGGAAGAGCCCAAACCGUUGCUGUCGCAAGGCAGGAGCGGGGUUGUAGGACCGCAUAACGAUAUUGUAAAGUCGAGCGGAACCGUCUGGAAAGUCGGACCGCAGAAGGUGACAGUCCUGUAUGCGUAGACAAUUAUAAUAUCAGCGUAAUCCUGAGUAACGCGGGACACGAGUAAUCCUGCGCGAAUCCGCCGGGCCCAUCCGGCAAGGCUAAAUACUCCCGUGAGACCGAUAGUGUACCAGUACCGUGAGGGAAAGGUGAAAAGAACCCCGAGCAGGGGAGUGAAAUAGCUCCUGAACCCCUGCGCCUACAAGCGGUCGGAGCAUGUAUUACAUGUGACGGCGUGCCUUUUGCAUAAUGAACCUACGAGUUGCCGUCGCCGGCGAGGUUAAGGAUGAAGACAUCCGUAUCCGCAGUGAAAGCGAGCCUGAACAGGGCGUUGAGUCGGCGGAGGCAGACGCGAAACCAAGUGAUCUACACUUGGCCAGGAUGAAGUCCCGGUAACACGGGAUGGAGGUCCGCACCGAUAAGCGUUGAAAAGCUUCCGGAUGAGCCGAGUGUAGGAGUGAAAGGCCAAUCAAACUUGGAGAUAGCUCGUACUCCCCGAAAUGCAUUUAGGUGCAGCGUGCGGUGUUAGUCAUGAGAGGUAGAGCGACCGAUAGGAUGAGGGGGUUUCACCGCCUGCCAAGUCCUGACGAACUCCGAAUGCUCAUGAGUCGCAGCCGUGCAGUAAGGGGGCGGGUGCUAAGGUCCGUCCCCGAGAGGAGAAGAAUCCAGACCGCCGUCUAAGGUCCCGGAAUUCUGCCUGAGUUAGUCUAACGAAGUGAGGUCCCUGAGACAGCCAGGAUGUUGGCUUGGAAGCAGCCAUUCAUUCAAAGAGUGCGUAACAGCUCACUGGUCGAGGGUCCUUGCGUGGAUAAUAAUCGGGUAUAAGGCAGAUGCCGAAGGCGCGGGAUAGCAAAUAAUAAAAGUAUCGGUAGGGGAGCAUUCCAUAUGCGCAGAAUGUAUGAGGUAACUCAUGCUGGAGCGUAUGGAAAAGCAAAUGUAGGUAUAAGUAACGAUAAGGGGAAUGAGAUUUUCCCCCGCCGCAAGACCGAGGUUUCCCGGGCAAUGUCAAUCAGCCCGGGGUCAGUCGGGUCCUAAGUUUAAGCCGAACGGCGAGAGCGAUGGCAGAUACGGUCAACAUUCCGUAACUGCCGCAGCAGGCGAUGUGGUGACGGAGGCGUGGAACCGCCGCGGACCGACGGAAUGGUCCGUUAAAGGGUGUAGGUGCUGAGGGAUAUAGGCAAAUCCGUAUUCCGAGCCGAACCUGAAAGUAUGCCUUCCUCCUCGGAGGCGGGCAAUAGCGCGGGUAAUCAUACUCCCGAGAAAAACCGCUAAGCAACUGUUGCGGCACCCGUACCGCAAACGGACACACGUGGUCGUGUAGAAUAUACUGAGGCGUUGAGAGAUUCAUGGUUAAGGAACUAGGCAAACUGACCCCGUAACUUCGGGAUAAGGGGUCCUCACGUUGAGUGAGGCGCAGAGAAUAGGUCCAGGCAACUGUUUAACAAAAACACAGGGCUGUGCAAACUCGAAAGAUGAAGUAUACAGCCUGACACCUGCCCGGUGCCGGAAGGUUAAGAGGAGAAGUCAUCGCAAGAGAAGCUUUGAAUUGAAGCCCCGGUAAACGGCGGCCGUAACUAUAACGGUCCUAAGGUAGCGAAAUUCCUUGUCGGGUAAG
This 1971-nucleotide ribosomal RNA is filed under the name human gut metagenome. RNAcentral describes it as "bacterial LSU rRNA". It matches the Rfam family "Bacterial large subunit ribosomal RNA", at positions 1 to 1980 of the family's 2925-position model. The record is from RNAcentral.